CGGGCAUGCGGGCGUGAGUGCAUACACAUGUAUAUGCAGGUAUAUGAACAUGUCCUCAGAGUCCAAAAGAGUUUGUCUGAUUCCCUGGAGCUGGAGUUAGAAGUGAUUGUGGAGAGUAAGCAACUCUUGACAGGUUUUCAAAUCAAGAAAUGAAAUUGAGAAUAGUCAGGCUCAGUGACAUGGGCCUAUUCCCAGCACCUGGGAAGUUGGGGCAGAAGAACCAUGAAUAUGAAGCGAGUCUGGGCUACACAGAAAAACACUAUCUCAAACAAACAAACAAAUUAAAAAAAAAAAAACCAAAACCCUGAAAAGGUUAAACAUGAACUAUCUUCUUUCCCAUUCC
Molecule: non-coding RNA, 343 nt
Organism: Peromyscus maniculatus bairdii (prairie deer mouse)
Lineage: Eukaryota; Metazoa; Chordata; Mammalia; Rodentia; Cricetidae
Source: RefSeq, a predicted model, not a curated record